GCCUGAACUCCAGUAGGGCCCAAGCCAGCCAGGAAGGAGGAGGCAGCCAGAGUGGCCACCACUGCUCUCUUUAGCAGAAGACCCCCUGCUGCCAGGUACCACAUAUCCUGCCCUGGGUUGAACCAGGGUCUCCUCCAAGGGAAUCCAGGAGCACCACCAACUUUGAGCAACUGCAAGGGCCAGAAGCCAGAAAAUCUCAGUUAGCAGCACCAGUCUCUUUAAGGGCAAGGCACCUCAAGCCUGAAGUUCAUUUGACUUUGUAUGACAAAGCCUGUUUGAAACGUCUCUUGAGAUCCUGCAUAUUUGGAGAUUUGGGCCGAGGAAUGAUAGAAGAUCUUCU
Long non-coding RNA from Hemicordylus capensis (graceful crag lizard), 340 nucleotides. RefSeq lists it as uncharacterized. The record is from RefSeq and is a predicted model, not a curated record. Lineage: Eukaryota; Metazoa; Chordata; Lepidosauria; Squamata; Cordylidae. The transcript is spliced from 3 exons.